CUGUAGCGCAGUGGAUAGCACUUUGGACUUUUUAUCCAAAGAUCGUGGGUUCGAAUCCCCCCUAAAAGG
Molecule: transfer RNA, 69 nt
Filed under: Trichonephila inaurata madagascariensis
Lineage: Eukaryota; Metazoa; Arthropoda; Arachnida; Araneae; Nephilidae
Description: tRNA-Lys
Rfam family: tRNA (bases 3-62)
About the family: Transfer RNA (tRNA) molecules are approximately 80 nucleotides in length. Their secondary structure includes four short double-helical elements and three loops (D, anti-codon, and T loops). Further hydrogen bonds mediate the characteristic L-shaped molecular structure. tRNAs have two regions of fundamental functional importance: the anti-codon, which is responsible for specific mRNA codon recognition, and the 3' end, to which the tRNAs corresponding amino acid is attached (by aminoacyl-tRNA synthetases). tRNAs cope with the degeneracy of the genetic code in two manners: having more than one tRNA (with a specific anti-codon) for a particular amino acid; and 'wobble' base-pairing, i.e. permitting non-standard base-pairing at the 3rd anti-codon position.
Source: RNAcentral